CGUCCAAACGAUAGUUUGAGAGUUUUUCCUUUUUGUUGAAAUGAGACAAAAAACCUCUUGGAAGGACAUCUCAUGGAGCUGUCUCUGUUUAUACGCUAGUUCCUAUAUAAGCUACCUAAAAGUGCGUUUUAAAGCUCCUAUAAAAACGUCUAUCAAACCACGAGAGUACCAAUAAAACAUCACUAAAAGGAAGACAAGUAAUGAACCAUUGGUAGAUGCCGUCGAGUCGAUAACAGGUCGACGACUGGAACCACUCACUAACUACCACGUACAAAAAGAUAAUCAAAGAGAGAUACGGUUACAGACUUAAAAUAGAACGGCAAAACGUAAAGAGGUCCGGAAAGUUAGAGUGACACUAAGGGGCUCUACGCGAUAAUCAUCCGUAGGUGAAGCAUUAUUUUUAAACCGUCAGUUGAACUUUGCUCAGUAAAUAGAUCGAUGUCGUUGGAAGGAACGAAAACGUUUAUUAUGACAUACCAACUGUGAUAUCAGAUAUGGACGGUUUAUAAAUGUGCAAUCAUAUCGGUCUUUCAGUCUACUAGCAAGGUACAACCAAUCGACACUAUUUAGUUUAAAGAUCUCAUCGUCUACUAAGCACAGUCCAAAGAAAAUCUCUAACUUUAUACAGAACUGAGACUUUAAUCAUCAUGUCGCAGGUCAAAAGGUAUCCACUUUCGUAUGAUACGUUUUGACCUGCCGGAAGAUUUCGAGACUUUGAUGAUAAACAACACAUUAGACAUAGGGGAAAAGUAUGAAACAUAUACGAAAGAUGAAUGAUCCUUUUUUACGCACUCUUGCUACCGGAUCUCCUACACUUAACGUGAGUUUAUAUACGUCCAAAGAACGGUUUGAUUGACGGUGAUAACAUAAAGUCCACGAAGAAGACAUUGAAUCACAUAAAACGACCGAGCAGAGUAAAGGACCGCUUGAAAAAUCAUACAUGUCAACUUAGUAACCUUCAACAAAAGAUGAUAGCUAUCUCCAAAAUAGGUUUGAUAAUCGACGGACUGAACGAAAAAACUUUAUGUGGUUGGACUAUCUGGUUCACCUGGUUGUGUAAAGGUACCCUAAAAUCUUUUUAUAUAUAAGCUUAAACGUAUGUAAAAGAUUUAAAGAUAGAAAAGAAUAGGUACGAAGGGGUAUCUAUAUAUCGUCCGAGUUGUUUUUAUAUACAGGCGAAUACAAGUUUAAAGUUCCUUCACACGAAGUGUGAAGAGAAAGACGUUAUACAAAGUCUCAUAUACUAAAUUAAAAGGAUGAAAAGGUCAAUUUUAUGACACAUGAAGUAAGAAUCGAAACGAAAUCCUUUUUAUCCAUACGUCCAAUAGCUUUCGAGGUAAAAAGUGGUAAUAUAUCUAAUAUAUCGAAACACCAGCUUCCAUCCAACAGUGUAUACCCUACAACGAACACUUUCAAUAUAUGUCGGUACUCAGGGACUGUUUUAUUAGCGUCGAGUAUAAUAAUCCUAGUCCCUUGGAGCUGGUAAAAAGACUUUGUACAGCGUCGAGUACAAGGAUGAAAGGGUCGAUGUCAUACAUGAAGUAAGAAUGGAAACGAAAACCUUCAAUGUAACGAAAGAAAAGGGAGUAUUUGAACGAUUUCUAUAACCGCUUCAUUAGGGGUGAAGUCUAAAGGGUAACUUACUUAUUGAUUAAAUCAAACAAGUUUUUAACAUCCAGUUCUCGGUACUUAUCCUCGUUCCGUAGUGUGAGGUCGAGACUCUUCUUUUCCUAUACUUCUGUUUCUAUAGUCACAAGACGAGGCUCCGUUUUUGUAAAACGCACAUUAUUACUUGACAUUAAAUGGUGUUAGAGAUUUUGUCCGGAUGGAUGAA
This 1834-nucleotide ribosomal RNA is filed under the name Triticum aestivum (bread wheat). Its description in RNAcentral is "partial small subunit ribosomal RNA". The record is from RNAcentral. Lineage: Eukaryota; Viridiplantae; Streptophyta; Magnoliopsida; Poales; Poaceae.